UAAUACCUUCUUUACGAUUUAAUUGAUCACAUGCUUGUUGUACACUAUUUGUCAUUGGAUUUGGUCCACAACUAAAAACCCCGACACGUUCCACCUUUGGAUAACCCGGAAAAAAACGGGAAACAGAAAAAACGCUUGUAGUCCGGUAAAAAGACUUUUGUUUGAAAUACGUUGAAAAUGUCGUUCACAAAUAUACUUUGAAAUUCAGGAGAAAAAAAAUGGAUUUAUUCGAAGAAAAAGACAUUGAAAACAUUGAUAUCUUACCAA
Molecule: unclassified non-coding RNA, 267 nt
Filed under: Dermatophagoides pteronyssinus (European house dust mite)
Lineage: Eukaryota; Metazoa; Arthropoda; Arachnida; Sarcoptiformes; Pyroglyphidae
Description: protein UXT-like, transcript variant X2
Source: RNAcentral